Molecule: ribosomal RNA, 465 nt
Filed under: uncultured bacterium
Lineage: Bacteria
Description: partial 16S ribosomal RNA
Rfam family: Bacterial small subunit ribosomal RNA
Source: RNAcentral
GACGAACGCUGGCGGCGUGCUUAACACAUGCAAGUCGAACGGAAAGGCCCCUUUGGGGGUCCUCGAGUGGCGAACGGGUGAGUAACACGUGAGUAACCUGCCCUUGACUUCGGGAUAACUUCAGGAAACUGGGGCUAAUACCGGAUAGGAAUCCUUGCUGCAUGGUGGGGGUUGGAAAGCUUCGGCGGUUUUGGAUGGACUCGCGGCUUAUCAGCUUGUUGGUGGGGUAGUGGCUUACCAAGGCUUUGACGGGUAGCCGGCCUGAGAGGGCGACCGGCCACAUUGGGACUGAGAUACGGCCCAGACUCCUACGGGAGGCAGCAGUGGGGAAUAUUGCACAAUGGGCGGAAGCCGGAUGCAGCAACGCCGCGGGCGGGAUGACGGCCUUCGGGUUGUAAACCGCUUUCAGCAGGGGCGAAGCUUGUGGUGACGGUACCUGCAGAAGAAGCACCGGCUAACUACGUG